Molecule: ribosomal RNA, 495 nt
Filed under: uncultured bacterium
Lineage: Bacteria
Description: partial 16S ribosomal RNA
Rfam family: Bacterial small subunit ribosomal RNA
Source: RNAcentral
GAUGAACGCUGGCGGCGUGCCUAAUACAUGCAAGUCGAGCGAACAGACGAGGAGCUUGCUCCUCUGACGUUAGCGGCGGACGGGUGAGUAACACGUGGAUAACCUACCUAUAAGACUGGGAUAACUUCGGGAAACCGGAGCUAAUACCGGAUAAUAUAUUGAACCGCAUGGUUCAAUAGUGAAAGACGGUUUUGCUGUCACUUAUAGAUGGAUCCGCGCCGCAUUAGCUAGUUGGUAAGGUAACGGCUUACCAAGGCAACGAUGCGUAGCCGACCUGAGAGGGUGAUCGGCCACACUGGAACUGAGACACGGUCCAGACUCCUACGGGGGGCAGCAGUAGGGAAUCUUCCGCAAUGGGCGAAAGCCUGACGGAGCAACGCCGCGUGAGUGAUGAAGGUCUUCGGAUCGUAAAACUCUGUUAUUAGGGAAGAACAAAUGUGUAAGUAACUAUGCACGUCUUGACGGUACCUAAUCAGAAAGCCACGGCUAACUACG